CAGGACGAACGCUGGCGGCGUGCCUAACACAUGCAAGUCGAACGGAACUAUUUGACUGAUUCCUUCGGGAUGAAGAAUUUUAGUUAGUGGCGGACGGGUGAGUAACGCGUGAGUAACCUGCCUCUGAGAGGGGAAUAACGUUCUGAAAAGAACGCUAAUACCGCAUAACACAUAUUUGCCGCAUGACAGAUAUGUCAAAGAUUUUUAUCGCUCGGAGAUGGACUCGCGUCCGAUUAGUUAGUUGGUGAGGUAACGGCUCACCAAGACCGCGAUCGGUAGCCGGACUGAGAGGUUGAACGGCCACAUUGGGACUGAGACACGGCCCAGACUCCUACGGGAGGCAGCAGUGGGGGAUAUUGCGCAAUGGGGGCAACCCUGACGCCAGCAACGCCGCGUGAAGGAUGAAGGUUUUCGGAUUGUAAACUUCUUUUAUCAGGGACGAACUCUGACGGUACCUGAUGAAUAAGCUCCGGCUAACUACGUGCCAGCCGCAGC
This 495-nucleotide ribosomal RNA is filed under the name uncultured bacterium. Its description in RNAcentral is "bacterial SSU rRNA". It matches the Rfam family "Bacterial small subunit ribosomal RNA", at positions 25 to 518 of the family's 1533-position model. The record is from RNAcentral.